AUACGUAGGGGGCAAGCGUUAUCCGGAUUUACUGGGUGUAAAGGGAGCGUAGACGGCAAAGCAAGUCUGAAGUGAAAGCCCCGGGCUCAACCCGGGAAUUGCUUUGGAAACUGUUUAGCUGGAGUGCAGGAGAGGUAAGCGGAAUUCCUAGUGUAGCGGUGAAAUGCGUAGAUAUUAGGAGGAACACCGGCGGCGAAGGCGGCUUACCGGACUGUAACUGACGUUGAGGCUCGAAAGCGUGGGGAGCAAACAGGAUUAGAUACCCUGGUAGUCCACGCCGUAAACGAUGAUUACUAGGUGUUGGUUGUCAUAGACAAUCGGUGCCGCAGCAAACGCAAUAAGUAAUCCACCUGGGGAGUACGUUCGCAAGAAUGAAACUCAAAUGAAUUGACGGGG
This 396-nucleotide ribosomal RNA is filed under the name uncultured bacterium. RNAcentral's name for it is "partial 16S ribosomal RNA". It matches the Rfam family "Bacterial small subunit ribosomal RNA", at positions 523 to 918 of the family's 1533-position model. The record is from RNAcentral.